GCCUAAAACUGGUUUAUCUGACUUGGUCUUGCAAGGUACCAAAUGUCACUCAAGUGGAAAAUGUGGUGUGUGGUUGGUCGGACAUUUGUGGUUAUACCAGAUUUUUGUAUGAGAAGCGGUUGCCCCGAAGCCAAGUCAACACCGCUUGUUUUGAGCCUCCACAGUUGGCAGGACGUUAUGUUGGAUCGAGGCAAGAAUAGUUCAAUUUACCAUGUGGCUUGUGCAAAUGUCCCUAAGUACUUGACAAAAUUUUGCACGGUCAUUUUCAGAAUGAUUCUAAAUCUGGACUCGAGUCUAAAUCUUGUAAAGGCAAAGGAACACUGACCCUCUCGUGCGCCUGCGUUAAAAAUCUGAUGCCGCUCCGCUCGGUUGUCCUGCCGGAGGUGCAGUUCUGUUUCAGCUGAAUUUCUCAAUUGGCAAGAAAGGGCUGAAGGGUAGAGUUACCAGUGAUCGCGAGUCAGCGACUGUGAAAAGGUGGAAAACAAACACGGUCUCCUGGAGGAUUCUUCUGCUUCUCACACAGGAGUUCGCCGGAACAUUUACCGUGAAAAAAACCCAGAGCUGUCAAAAUCUUUUUCUGGUCUUGAACCUCAGCAUUCUUUGUGUGUGUGUGUGUGUGCUUUGGAUUCAAGCAACAAAAACAAGCAGAAAGUUUACGAUGCCAUGAGGUUCUGUGUUUCAGUGGCUCUACGGUCAGGGUGUCCACCUCCAUCCACCACCGCAUCACAUGAAGAUUCAAAUCCACGGUCACGUCAAAUCUUAGGGGCUGAGAAACAGAGCUCACUGCCUGCUGUUCUGCGUCUCUCUGCGUCAUUUUAUUGUCUCUUUGAGAAGAGCAGGUUUUUUUUUUUUGGAAUGUUUCUUUCCUCGCAAAAAAAAGUUCUUAGAACUUAGAACUCGAUUGCUUUCGGUCCCCAGCAGUGAUUGUGACAUCAGCAUUAGAAUGUUCAGUUGGGAAUAUUCUAGUAGCGUAUUUGUGAUCUUAUGCCUACCUUAUGAAGGGUUAAAACCCUACCGUGCUCUAAUCAGCGUUGUGAGGCCCCUCGGCCACCACUAGGUUGAUGGCGCAGGGGUAGCGCCCCCUAGGGGUGGGCACCAGAGGGACUGUGCGGAGGAGACCGGGCACCAGGGCAGCGCUUGCCACUCCCUUCUCCUUCGCCCAGGUUUUGUUUUGUUUUGUUUUGUUUUGGUUUCUAAAGUGGACGGUGUGCCUUUAAAACCAGUGGGUAGUCAGGUGACUGAGGCUCAGUCCGCGCAGCUCUCCGUGAGAAACUGAAUGCGACUGAGCGAGAGAGGGAGAGAAGGCAGGCAGAGAGAGAGAGGAAGAGAGGAAAAGAGGAAGAGAAGACGGGGGAAAGAGAGAGAGAGAGAGGGAGAGAAAGCAGGCGGAGAGGGAGCGAGAGAGAGAGAGAGAGAGAGAGAGGGAGAGAAGACGGGGGAGAGAGAGAGAGAGAAAGAGAGAGGGAGAGGGGGAGAAGGCAGGGGAGAGAGAGAGGGAGAGGGAGAGGGAGAGGGGGAGAAGACAGGGAAGAGAGAGAGAGAAAGAGAGAGAGAGAGAGAGGGACAGGGGCUGGGUGGACAACAGCAACAGAAAGAGGAGCUGAGACGCGGGUUUUGGUAGCGAGACUCCAGCUGGAUGUCUGGCUGCGGUGUUCGCUGACCGGCAGAGUUGUUGUUGGAGAGGAGGGAGCUGCAGUUGCGUGAGGCUGCAAUACCAGCAGCACAGCCGGAGAAUUAAAUGCUGCGUCACACCGUGGGAGAGCUUGCGAGCGUGUACGCGCAUGUGUGGGUAUCCGUGUGUGUGUGUGCGUGUGUGUGUGCGCGAGUGUGUUUGUUUAUAAAGGGGGGUGUGUCCGUCUUUCUUUGAGAAUUUUUUACUUUUUUUUGAUGUCUUUAUCGAGCAGGGCGCUGCUCCCGAGAUGGGAAAACAUGAAGUGAAGUGGGCGAGGUGGGUGGGGAGGAAAGAUUUCGGAUUAGCAGCUACGUCAUUUUUUUUUUCCCCCCCCCCCACAUUGUUAGCAAAGCGGCAGCUCUCUCAUCAGGAGUCCAGCGCGCGGUGGCAUUCUUACCUGAACCGAAGACGCAGCUUCAAAAUCGGCCUUUCCCGCCCCCCCCCCCCCUUCCAGAUCUUUUCUUCCGUCUCAUUAGGUCCGUUUCCUCGGUCCUCUCUCCGCGUCCCCGUGCCGUUGUUUUGCCCCGUGCGGGAAAAAGAAAACGUUGGCGGAGCGCUAACAUGGACAGCGAAGACGCGACGUGCCUCGCUCUCCAGUCCGAGGCGUUGUGCGAGGCCGGGUCGACGGAGAAAAGGCUCUUACAAAACCGCGACAAACGAACAUCGGGGAGAUAUUAGCUGAGAGAAACGUAGGACAUAACUGGAUAGUGGAGCAUUCUAUUUAUGAGACAGAGGUAAUGAAAGGAGAAAUUAUAUUUUGGGCAGAGAAUAAUACCUAGACGUAGACGUGUGUACAUAACAGACGGAUAGGAAACGAAGCACGUAACUAAUCUGCGCACAUAUAAACAAAGUAUACAAGCACGUAAUCUUUGUGUUCGCUUUGUUUGAGUCCAUCCUCUCCCUUUCGGACGCAUUGUGGCCCUUCCGUGGUAAGUGAUAACAGUGCUUUUUCCUUUUAACGCAGGAGCUUGUGCCGUCGCUGGCCGUCUGCUAUCGGGGCAACUUUUAAAGAGCCAGACGAGGCGGCCGGCAGGUCACUGCUGCAGUGAGGUGCUGAUCGCGGACUUCGGUGGAAUCGGAGCGACUUCCUGCACCUGUCUGUCCCGGGGCGGGUGGAGGGGGCUGAGGGGAUUUUUUGCUACGUAAUGGAAACAGAACUGAAAUAGCGCGAGUGACGCAGUGUUUUUUUUUUGUUUUUUUUUGUUUGUUUUCUUCCUUCUUCGAGUGAAACAUGGCAGUGAGACUGACUCUGACCCUCUUCCUCUUUCUCUCUUUGACCGUACGGGGGAUCUGUAAAGGGUCUUCCCCAGGAGGUGUCACAAGGGGCCUAAAUGUCAGGGCGCUAGAUUGGGGGGGAAGGCUGGCUGUUUACCUCGCUCGCUUGGUGACACUCCUGGCGGAAUGCCAACUCCCAUGCAGCUGACUUUGAAGCAGCCGCAUUGCCCAAUAGAAUGUCAGAGCUCCUCCCCCAUUGGACUAGGGGGGAGGUGGUGAGGGCCCAAGAGACUGGCACUUUUACCUCCAGAACGAUGGCGCCUGAUUGGCCCGAGAGGUGUUGUUGUCGUGUUUGAUUGGCUGGAGCGGACAGUUUCACUGCGUGUCAAUGCAGAGACGAUUCUCAUUCAGGACAGCCUGUGACUUGCUGUGCCGUAGUGAUUUUGGUUGUUUGAAGACCCGAUUAUUCAGAUCUUCUUUUGAAACUGGAGGCAGUUAUAGACAGCGUAACAGUGUAGUAGUAUGAAAGCAGCUGUGAAAAUGAAAGGUAAAACUUUACCUGAAGUGAGUUUCGUAGUUUUCAUAAAUGCUACAUAACACACCGCUGCCUUUGUCACAAUCAUACAUAUCUUAUAACCAGCUUAUAGUAACUGUGAUACUAUGUCACUCGCAUCAUAUUGUUUAUCACUGAACGCUUCAUACUCUUAUGCCAGUUAUUAUAAGCUGGGCAUAAUGUUAAUGUGUACUUAUUAGAAAGACUGUAGCCAUAUCUAGCGCUUAUAAAGGCAUUAGGAAAUGUGUUCAUCUUCAGCCACUGGUACUACUGGUACUUGUAAUUAAAGUUGAAGCUCCUAUACAAUAUUAAAAUAAAGUUUCUGCUUCAUUAUGACACUUACAUGUAACAGUAUGUCUUGCAGCAUUGUUUCUUAUAAUAAUGCUUAGCGUUGACUCUUGUUUUUCAAGCCACAAUGGGCAAGAGACACUAACUAAAUGCAUACCAAAUAAAUGCUAAAUGAACCUGGUAUGACUGAAUAAAACCACUGACUCCUAUAAGAAGAAGAAGUAUUGAUAGAAGGUCUUGUGGUGGCAGGACUGUUUAUCAGCUGGGAUUAACAGGUCAGACUUUUUGGUUGAUAUGACUCUCUGCCUGUUGACGGUCUGUGGUGUCAAGUGUUAACCGAAGUUCUGUCUUUUUGUGCGUCACGGUUGGGAAGUUCUGUUUUUGGGUUUAAAAUUAGCUACAGGGCCUCAAAGCGCACCGGGGUGGUUUUGAACUGCUAGCGGUCAGUGGUUAGGAUAGGAAGGGCCCCCCCCCCCAAAAAACCCCCCAACCCCCCCCGAACCAAAAAGUAAAUUAAUAACGGCCAGGGAAAACACCGAGUGGCUUGCGUGCGCAGUGGAAUGUUCUCUGCCCCGGAGGCUGUGAUGUCAUCCACAGGGUGUGAUUGACGGCCGCUGCAGGAUUCCGCGCUGGGCUCGGCGUUUGCGGACCGAAGCAGAAGCCGACGGGCCUUGGCAGCAGACCCGGCGGGAGAGGCGUCCGCGUCCACGCCGCGCGGCGAAGGAGGCGGCGAGCGACCCCCCUGUUAAGUGCGCCCGGAGCUGUCACUCAAAUUCACUCUCCCACGGCGACGUGUAAGAAGACGUGUGAUUGGACGGCGAGUAGGCUGGUCUUCCCCAGGAAACUGGUUUCAGGUGGUGGCUUAGAGUGUCAUAUAUCAUUUAUCUAGCACCAUUUGAAAUCAGUGUUUCUGGGGCAGGAAGUACAACGCACAAGAAGCCACCUUAGUUCUUGGUCAAGAGGAAGCUCAACCAUCUUUUUUGGGGGGGGCGGGGUGUAUUGAGACUUAAUUUUGCCUGCAGCUCAGUAAUAUUCUGCAGCAAUAAUGAUGCCCUGAGGGCAGUUUGCUGGAACAGGUGAGAUGAGGCAGCAGAUCCUUUGCCUGACGGACCUGUGGAAGGUAGCCUUUGGGACAUUCCUACAGGCGCCACGCCACGCCCCGCCCUACCGCCUUUCCGUUUCUCCUCUCACCAAGGCUGACCGAUUUCUUCUGGUGUUCAGAGUCUGUUCCUGUUUCUAGCACCAUUUGAAAUCGGUUACAAUGUAGGAGGAAAGUCGACACCCAGCGCGAAACGCGAGGCGGCUCCAGCCCCCCUCUCUGGCGGCCACCCCGGGGGUCUCCGCUGAGGAACGGUGAUAUUGAGGUAAAACUGGCCUGGGGGGGGGAUUUUCAGGGGUGGUUGCCACCGUGCUCACAAAAUAAACUCUGAAAUAAAGACGUUUUCUAAACGUA
Long non-coding RNA from Anguilla rostrata (American eel), 5181 nucleotides. RefSeq lists it as uncharacterized. The record is from RefSeq and is a predicted model, not a curated record. The transcript is spliced from 3 exons. Lineage: Eukaryota; Metazoa; Chordata; Actinopteri; Anguilliformes; Anguillidae.